This 459-nucleotide ribosomal RNA is filed under the name uncultured bacterium. Its description in RNAcentral is "bacterial SSU rRNA". It matches the Rfam family "Bacterial small subunit ribosomal RNA", at positions 28 to 524 of the family's 1533-position model. The record is from RNAcentral.
AGCGAACGCUAGCGGCGGGCCUAACACAUGCAAGUCGAGCGCAUACCUUCGGGUAUGAGCGGCGGACGGGUGAGUAACGCGUAGGUCAUCUACCCUUUGGUGGGGGAUAACCCAGGGAAACUUGGGCUAAUACCGCACGAGGUCCACGGAUCAAAGCCUUCGGGCGCCAGAGGAUGAGCCUGCGUCGCAUUACCUAGUUGGCGGGGUAACGGCCCACCAAGGGGACGAUGCGUAGCUGGUCUGAGAGGAUGAUCAGCCACACUGGGACUGAGACACGGCCCAGACUCCUACGGGAGGCAGCAGUGGGGAAUAUUGCGCAAUGGGGGGAAACCCUGACGCAGCCACGCCGCGUGGGUGAUGAAGGCCUUCGGGUUGUAAAGCCCUGUCGGGAGGGACGGAAUUCUUGACGGUACCUCCAAAGAAAGCACCGGCUAACUCCGUGCCAGCAGCCGCGGUAAU